UUCUUUUUAAAAUUUUAUUUCAAUAGUUUAAAAAAGUCAAUGAAACAAACAUAUCUAUACACAAAGAACAAGAUUGUACGUAAAUGAAGUUACAAAUCUCUGCUAUGUUUAACUUACUUUUCUUCACAUCUAAAUAAUAAGUUCUGAACACAAGUAUCCCUGCUCUUCCCUACCCUAUCUGUAUCACAGAAAGUAUUAUAUGGGAAAUCAGUAUGUUCAUACAAAGAAAUUCUUUAAUGUUUUCACAUUUCACUUUACACACUGGAGGUAACAUUCACAAUUUAUUCCUCUAGUAUUAAUUCUGUCAUUGUGUAUAGUGUUCUCUUGGUUCUAAUCACUUCACUGAUCAUUAGCCUGUGUAGUUCUUUCCCAGUUCCUUAGAAAUUUGCCAGUUCAUCACUACUUGCAGCAUAGAAGUGUUCAAUCAUACUCAUUUACCACAAUUGGUAUAGCCAAUUCCCAAUUAAUGGGCAUCGCUUCAGUUGCCAAUUCUUUGACACCACAAAGUGAACUACUAUAAAUCUCUUAGAAUAUAUGAAUUCUUUUCCAUUUCCUCUGAUCUUCUUGGAAAACAGACAGAGAUAUGGGAUUCCUAAGUCUAUACAAUUUUAUAACUCUGUAUGUGUUGGUCAGGAAUAAUUUCACAAUGGAUGAAUUGGCUGAUUUCAAGCUCCACCAACAGUGUAUUUGUGUUCUUUUUUUCCACAUCCCCUCCAAUAAUUGCCCUUUGGUCAGUUUAGCCAAUCUGAUGGAUAUGAAAUAAUAUCUCAGAAGUUGGCAUUUCUCUAAUCACUAGUGACUUGGAGCACUUUUUUCAUAUAACUAUAUAUGGCUUUGAUUUCUCCAUCCAAAACUUGUCUAUUUAUCACUUUGGGCCAUUUACCAAUUUGGGGAUGGCUGUGUUUCUUAUAAACACACAGCAAAGAUGUCUAUAUGUUUGACAUUUGAGUGUAUAAAAAUGUCUACCCAAUUUUCUGAUUUCCUUCUAAUCUUGACAGAAUUUAUUUUAUUUCUACAAAAUCUUUUCAAAUUAAUGUACUCAAAAUUACCCAUCUCAUAUUUCACAAUGCUCUCUGCUCAAUCCACCAACUCCCACUAUGAAUUGUGCUACAGGGAAAUAAUGUCCAGAGGCUCCCCAAACAAUCAUUUCUUUUCUUUAAGGACCACCCUAUCCCCAGAACUACUGAAGCUUCUUCAAGAGAGUCUGUGGACACUAACUUUCUCCCACAUCAUUCCACAUCAGUCGAGUCUAAAGAUUUAAACAGAAGACUGGCUUCUGGAAGAAAAAAAUUUGACACCUCUUUGCCUGAUGGUACCGUUGCCCCAUCAGAUGACUCCUCGGUGUCCACAAUAACUGCCAACAAUACUUCAGGUCAGUAAAAGCCUCCUUUUUGCUUUCUCUGUUUGACAGAAAUUCUUCCCUCCCAGGUCAUCCUUCCUCUUUUAAGGGCUUUCCAUUUGACCAUUAUUUGUACUGCUUUUCCUUCAUCUUAUAUUACUUACAUGGUUGAUACAGUUGAAUAUCUGAAGUUAGUAGGAGGAAAAAUUUGUGGUCGGAAGUCUCUUUAUUUUUCAAAAUGUUAGAAUGAAAUAGAUAGAAGAAGAAUGUUGUUAAAAGUUUUAACCACAGGGACCAGAGUACACUGGAAAAAGAUUACAGUUUGUUUUUCUCAGAAGCCUUCUUCAGUAUAUGCUCUGUAU
RNAcentral lists this long non-coding RNA (1701 nucleotides) under Monodelphis domestica (gray short-tailed opossum). Its description in RNAcentral is "lncRNA (ENSMODG00000040463.1)". Lineage: Eukaryota; Metazoa; Chordata; Mammalia; Didelphimorphia; Didelphidae. The record is from RNAcentral.